UCAUUUCAUUGAAGCAAAAAU
This 21-nucleotide non-coding RNA is filed under the name Caenorhabditis elegans. Lineage: Eukaryota; Metazoa; Nematoda; Chromadorea; Rhabditida; Rhabditidae. The record is from RNAcentral.